CGCCUCUUGCACCUAUAUAAGAGGUCCAGCCUGCCCAGUGACUAAGUUCAACGGCCGCGGUAUCCUAACCGUGCGAAGGUAGCGUAAUCACUUGUUCUUUAAAUGAGGACUAGUAUGAAUGGCACCACGAAGGUUAUGCUGUCUCCUUUUUCUAAUCAAUGAAACUGAUCUCCCCGUGAAGAAGCGGGGAUACAACUAUAAGACGAGAAGACCCUAUGGAGCUUUAAACCAUGUAACACUGGCUCAUACAUUAAAAUAUUCCAGAAUUUUUCAUAAUUACUCUAGCCACCAUGAUUACUAGUUUUAGGUUGGGGUGACCACGGAGCAAAAAUUAACCUCCAUGUUAAACGGAGCUACUCCUGAGCCAAAAGCCACGACUUUAAGCACUAAUAAAUUAAUAUUAAUUGACCCAAUACUUUUGAUCAACGAACCAAGUUACCCUAGGGAUAACAGCGCA
RNAcentral lists this ribosomal RNA (457 nucleotides) under Dendropsophus aff. minutus. Its description in RNAcentral is "partial 16S ribosomal RNA". It matches the Rfam family "Bacterial large subunit ribosomal RNA", at positions 1817 to 2484 of the family's 2925-position model. Lineage: Eukaryota; Metazoa; Chordata; Amphibia; Anura; Hylidae. The record is from RNAcentral.